RNAcentral lists this ribosomal RNA (484 nucleotides) under uncultured bacterium. Its description in RNAcentral is "partial 16S ribosomal RNA". It matches the Rfam family "Bacterial small subunit ribosomal RNA", at positions 29 to 507 of the family's 1533-position model. The record is from RNAcentral.
AUUGAACGCUGGCGGCAUGCUUUACACAUGCAAGUCGGACGGCAGCGCGGGCUUCGGCCUGGCGGCGAGUGGCGAACGGGUGAGUAAUACAUCGGAACGUGCCCAGUAGUGGGGGAUAGCCCGGCGAAAGCCGGAUUAAUACCGCAUACGAUCUGAGGGUGAAAGCGGGUGACUUUAGGGCCUCGCGCUCUUGGAGCGGCCGAUGGCAGAUUAGCUAGUUGGUGGGGUAUAGGCCUACCAAGGCGACGAUCUGUAGCUGGUCUGAGAGGACAACCAGGCAGACUGGGACUGAGACACGGCCCAGACUCCUACGGGAGGCAGCAGUGGGGAAUUUUGGACAAUGGGCGCAAGCCUGAUCCAGCAAUGCCGCGUGUGUGAUGAUGGCCUUCGGGUUGUAGAACACUUUUGGCAGGAACGAAAAGUGCCGUGCUAAUACCACGGUACGAUGACGGUACCUGCAGAAUAAGCGCCGGCUAACUACGUG